This 279-nucleotide long non-coding RNA is filed under the name Bos taurus (domestic cattle). Its description in RNAcentral is "long non-coding RNA NONBTAT008976". Lineage: Eukaryota; Metazoa; Chordata; Mammalia; Artiodactyla; Bovidae. The record is from RNAcentral.
CUGGCUGGCCUGGCUUUCCAGUCCAGGGUUAACCAGUCAGUCUAGACUGACAGGCAGCUCCAAUCCAGCACCAGUCUUUAGUGCUGAGUUAGGUCACCAUCCUAGUCCAGGGCUCAGUGGGGCAGCUUGAGCUAGCAGACUGUUCCGCCCAGAACCUGAGUCCCCCACCUUUGGCUGGUCCACAGCUCCCAUUUGUUGGGUUCUGCUGGUUCAGUCCAUAGUCCCACUUUGGGAACUAUUGGUGGUGAGCACGUAAGGGCUUCUCUUGACCAGUCCACA